GGAAGAUACAGAAAACAAUUGAACUUCCACCAAUAAAGUAUCUGGAGGUAAGGUAACACCUAAAAACAUUGGUUUUCAACUAGAUAUAAAGGGCGUAUUGGGCACAUAAAUCUUAUAAAGAAAACUGGUCAGAUGCAUCUAAAAUUUUAGGCAAAGAAGAACAAAUGAUAAUGCACGAAUUAAACAAGGAAACACUCUCAUUGCAGUAGAUCCUUCAACAGCUACCUGCCUAUCUGACGUGUUACAGCAGAAAUAUUCCAGUAAUUCAUGUGCAGGAUCAAUUUUCAAGAUACCUAAGGUGCCAUAUGAAACUCAAUAUGUUGCGCGUAAUUUUUCAUUAACUUAAACCUAUCAUAAACAGAAUUAGUAUCUUCUAUCAAAUUUAUCAUGAACAAUCAAUUUUAUCUAGACUAAGUCUCUGCAAGUUUCCACUAUCCAUAAGCAUCCUAAGACCAGCUUUCAGUUCUGGUACCCCUUCCUCCAAGACAGCACAUACUGGAUAUAUAGAAACACCCUGAACUCUUCUUUUCAAUUCUUCAUACACUUCUUCAGCCCCUGCCUCAUCAAUUUUAUUCGCCACAACCAAGGAUGGCCGAUCAGACAGGCCAUCUUGAUGAUGCUCAAGCUCUAAAACUAAAUCUUUCAAUUGUUCCCAUGGUGGAAAUCCCUUUCUACCAUCUAAUCCAGCAACCAAGUCUAGCACAUAAGCCAAAACCUUAGUACGUUCUAUGUGCCGUAGGAAAGCAUGUCCAAGUCCACGAUUCUCAUGAGCACCCUUUAUGAGUCCUGGAAUAUCAGCCACUGUGAUUGAGAAGUCAUCAAACUUCAGUUUACCUAAAUUUGGUCUAAGAGUCGUGAAGGCAUAAUGACCUACCCUAGGUUUUGCCCUGGAUAAAGCUCCCAAAAGAGUACUUUUACCAGCAUUUGGCAUUCCAACAAGGCCCACAUCAGCAAUGCUUUUCAGUUCCAAUACAAGAACAGCCUCUGAGCCAGGCAAACCACAGCUAAGGCAGGACUGAUCCUCACUGGACAUUUCAGGAUCAAAGGCAUUAUCCCUAUUGACUCCAGGCUUACCAAACUUAGCCUUCUUUGAAACAUAUGGAGAAGACACAUUACCCCAACCACCCUCCCCUCCUCGAGCAACAAUUAUUUGCUGACCUGGUUUUGUUAACUCUGCAACAUCAUAAUGUAUAUGUUCCACACCUGCUGAAUCUGCUUGAAUGGCUUUCGUGCUUGCAAAUUCCUCUGCAGUUCCUUUAGCUUGAGUUGAUGAGCCACCAGUAAUAUCCAAUGGCUCAACUUCUUUUUCUACGUAUGUGCUCUUAGAGACAGAUUGCUGGUGAGAUUCUAAUUGAUCAGUAUGGAGAGUGCCUGGAAGUUCCCAGGGGUCUAAGUCUGUUUUGGAACAGUUUUUAAUAGCAGAUGGAAGUUCACCCUUUAAAAGAUGAAUUACAGUGCCGACAGGAACUCGGACAACCUUAUCUUCCCCUCGAGUUCCUAUCAUACUCUUCGAAGCUCCAUGACCCCCUUUUCCUGCAUUAACAUGAUGGUGCAAACCACUAAAGUCCCAGAUUGCAGGGGAGCACUGUAAAAUCACAUCACCACCUCUUCCACCAUUUCCACCAUCAGGUCUGCCAUGGCGAUCAUGCCGACUAUGGCGAAAGCUGGAACAACCAUUGCCACCAUCACCUCCCUUAGCAUUUAGCAUAAACCGAUCUCUCAUUCUGGUUUCCUGUAAAGGGGCACACUUUGCUUUUGUGUGAGGAAUGUCUGAACAAGAGAACAAAGACAAAAAAAUCCAUGGAGAUUUAGAAGAUUUUCUCAAGGCCUCUAUGUGGCAAAAGGGUUUUGCACAACGUAACCACAUCAGUCUCUCUUUCCUGUCCAGAUGUCCUUCAAAGUCUCCUCAAAUUCAAUAAACUGGAAUUCAAUGUUUUGCUAUGUCAGCAACCUUAUCCGUUGUCGACUCCGCCGUAGAACACUAGAGCUACCGCCACCAGGGGAGAUCCAGUUCACCGGAUAUCAUUAGAGGGGAUAGCAAGUGAGCUAGAACUACAAAGACGAAGGAAAGGAACCCUUGUUUGAGUGGCUUCUAGCAUAACUGAGUUUCGCCUGUUCUCUCGGGUUCGGCGCAUUUGUC
This 2140-nucleotide unclassified non-coding RNA is filed under the name Hevea brasiliensis (rubber tree). The record is from RNAcentral. Lineage: Eukaryota; Viridiplantae; Streptophyta; Magnoliopsida; Malpighiales; Euphorbiaceae.